AGGGUUUGAUCAUGGCUCAGAUUGAACGCUGGCGGCAGGCCUAACACAUGCAAGUCGAACGGUAACAGAAAGAAGCUUGCUUCUUUGCUGACGAGUGGCGGACGGGUGAGUAAUGCUUGGGAAUUUGCCUUGAGGUGGGGGACAACAGUUGGAAACGACUGCUAAUACCGCAUAAUUGCUACGGCACAAAGGGGGCUCCGGCUCUCGCCUUUAGAGAAGCCCAAGUGGGAUUAGAUAGUUGGUGGGGUAAUGGCCUACCAAGUCAACGAUCCCUAGCUGGUCUGAGAGGAUGAUCAGCCACACUGGAACUGAGACACGGUCCAGGCUCCUACGGGAGGCAGCAGUGGGGAAUAUUGCACAAUGGGGGAAACCCUGAUGCAGCCAUGCCGCGUGUGUGAAGAAGGCCUUCGGGUUGUAAAGCACUUUCAGCGAGGAGGAAGGGUUAGUAGUUAAUACCUGCUAGCUUUGACGUUACUCGCAGAAGAAGCACCGGCUAACUCCGUGCCAGCCGCCGCGGUAAUAC
RNAcentral lists this ribosomal RNA (523 nucleotides) under uncultured bacterium. RNAcentral describes it as "bacterial SSU rRNA". It matches the Rfam family "Bacterial small subunit ribosomal RNA", at positions 8 to 526 of the family's 1533-position model. The record is from RNAcentral.